GAUGAACGCUAGCUACAGGCUUAACACAUGCAAGUCGAGGGGCAGCAGGGAUUUAGCUUGCUAAAUUCGCUGGCGACCGGCGCACGGGUGCGUAACGCGUAUCCAACUUUCCCGUUACUCUCGGAUAGCCUUCCGAAAGGGAGAUUAAUACGAGAUGGUGUUCUAAUUCCGCAUGUUAUUAGAACUAAAGAUUCAUCGGUAACGGAUAGGGAUGCGUGACAUUAGAUAGUUGGCGGGGUAACGGCCCACCAAGUCUACGAUGUCUAGGGGUUCUGAGAGGAAGGUCCCCCACACUGGAACUGAGACACGGUCCAGACUCCUACGGGAGGCAGCAGUGAGGAAUAUUGGUCAAUGGACGGAAGUCUGAACCAGCCAAGUAGCGUGCAGGAUGACGGCCCUAUGGGUUGUAAACUGCUUUUGUUCGGGAAUAAAGUGCAGUACGCGUACUGUUUUGUAUGUACCGUUCGAAUAAGCAUCGGCUAAUUCCGUG
This 490-nucleotide ribosomal RNA is filed under the name uncultured bacterium. RNAcentral describes it as "bacterial SSU rRNA". It matches the Rfam family "Bacterial small subunit ribosomal RNA", at positions 28 to 507 of the family's 1533-position model. The record is from RNAcentral.